CCCUUAGAUGUUCUGGGCUGCACGCGUGCUACACUGAUAUUGCCAAUAUGUCAUUCUUAUCCGAAAUGGAUUGGGUAAUCAAGUAAUGAAAUUUCAUGCUUGGAAUCGGUAAUUGCAAUUUUAUCGUGAACGAGGAAUUCCUAGUAAGCACUAGUCAUCAGCUAAUGUUGAUUAUGUCCCUGCCCUUUGUACACGCCGCCCGUCGCUACUACUGAUUGGGUGUUCAAGUGAGAUGCUUAGACCCUUGUUGCAUGGUUCAUUAUUGUGCUCCGAAAGGAAAAAGUUUCAAGCUUGAGUGUCUAGAGGAAGUAAAAGUCGUAACA
Molecule: ribosomal RNA, 323 nt
Filed under: uncultured eukaryote
Lineage: Eukaryota
Description: partial 18S ribosomal RNA
Rfam family: Eukaryotic small subunit ribosomal RNA
Source: RNAcentral